Molecule: long non-coding RNA, 593 nt
Filed under: Homo sapiens (human)
Lineage: Eukaryota; Metazoa; Chordata; Mammalia; Primates; Hominidae
Description: HSALNT0145193
Source: RNAcentral
GCGCCGCGCGCUGACCCUCCCUGGGCACCGCUGGGGACGAUGGCGCUGCUCGCCUUGCUGCUGGUCGUGGCCCUACCGCGGGUGUGGACAGACGCCAACCUGACUGCGAGACAACGAGAUCCAGAGGACUCCCAGCGAACGGACGAGGGUGACAAUAGAGUGUGGUGUCAUGUUUGUGAGAGAGAAAACACUUUCGAGUGCCAGAACCCAAGGAGGUGCAAAUGGACAGAGCCAUACUGCGUUAUAGCGGCCGUGAUGCUCCGCUGGUUGUGCAGCGAUGGAGAGACCCAAGCCAGAGGAGAAGCGGUUUCUCCUGGAAGAGCCCAUGCCCUUCUUUUACCUCAAGUGUUGUAAAAUUCGCUACUGCAAUUUAGAGGGGCCACCUAUCAACUCAUCAGUGUUCAAAGAAUAUGCUGGGAGCAUGGGUGAGAGCUGUGGUGGGCUGUGGCUGGCCAUCCUCCUGCUGCUGGCCUCCAUUGCAGCCGGCCUCAGCCUGUCUUGAGCCACGGGACUGCCACAGACUGAGCCUUCCGGAGCAUGGACUCGCUCCAGACCGUUGUCACCUGUUGCAUUAAACUUGUUUUCUGUUGAUU